GAUGAACGCUAGCGACAGGCUUAACACAUGCAAGUCGAGGGGCAGCACGUCUUCGGAUGGUGGCGACCGGCGCACGGGUGAGUAACACGUAUGCAACCUACCCAUAACAGGGGGAUAGCCCGUCGAAAGACGGAUUAAUACCGCAUAAAGCAGGGAUACCGCAUGGUAAUAUUUGCUAAAGAUUCAUUGGUUAUGGAUGGGCAUGCGUUCCAUUAGAUAGUUGGUUGGGGUAACGGCUCACCAAGUCAGCGAUGGAUAGGGGAACUGAGAGGUUAGUCCCCCACACUGGUACUGAGACAGGGACCAGACUCCUACGGGAGGCAGCAGUGAGGAAUAUUGGUCAAUGAGCGAGAGCUUGAACCAGCCAAGUCGCGUGAAGGAAGACGGUAUAAAGUAUUGUAAACUUCUUUUGUGAGGGGAUAAAAAAGGGCAUGUAUGCCCUGUUGCAGGUACCUCACGAAUAAGCAUCGGCUAACUCCGUGCCAGCAGCCGCGGUAAUACGGAGGAUGCGAGCGUUAUCCGGAUUUAUUGGGUUUAAAGGGUGCGUAGGCGGACUGAUAAGUCAGCGGUGAAAUCUCAAUGCUUAACAUUGAAACUGCCGUUGAAACUGUCAGUCUUGAGGAUAAGCGAGGCAGGCGGAAUUCGUAGUGUAGCGGUGAAAUGCAUAGAUAUUACGAAGAACCCCGAUAGCGUAGGCAGCUUGCCAGUCUAUCACUGACGCUGAGGCACGAAAGUGCGGGAAUCAAACAGGAUUAGAUACCCUGGUAGUCCGCACUGUAAACGAUGAAUACUAAUUGUUUGGCAGCAAUGCUAAGUGAUACAGCGAAAGCGUUAAGUAUUCCACCUGGGGAGUACGCCGGCAACGGUGAAACUCAAAGGAAUUGACGGGGGCCCGCACAAGCGGAGGAACAUGUGGUUUAAUUCGAUGAUACGCGAGGAACCUUACCCGGGCUCGAACGGCUGUUGAGUGUUUGUGAAAGCAGGCAGUCCGCAAGGACAACAGUCGAGGUGCUGCAUGGUUGUCGUCAGCUCGUGCCGUGAGGUGUCGGCUUAAGUGCCAUAACGAGCGCAACCCUUACCAUUAGUUACCAGCAUUCAGAUGGGGACUCUAGUGGGACUGCCACCGUAAGGUGUGAGGAAGGUGGGGAUGACGUCAAAUCAGCACGGCCCUUACGUCCGGGGCGACACACGUGUUACAAUGGGCAGGACAGAGAGAAGCUUGGUGGCGACACCCGGCAAAUCUACAAACUUGCUCCCAGUUCGGAUCGAAGUCUGCAACCCGACUUCGUGAAGCUGGAUUCGCUAGUAAUCGCGCAUCAGCCAUGGCGCGGUGAAUACGUUCCCGGGC
RNAcentral lists this ribosomal RNA (1348 nucleotides) under uncultured Bacteroidales bacterium. Its description in RNAcentral is "16S ribosomal RNA". It matches the Rfam family "Bacterial small subunit ribosomal RNA", at positions 28 to 1379 of the family's 1533-position model. Lineage: Bacteria; Pseudomonadati; Bacteroidota; Bacteroidia; Bacteroidales. The record is from RNAcentral.